This 496-nucleotide ribosomal RNA is filed under the name uncultured bacterium. RNAcentral describes it as "partial 16S ribosomal RNA". It matches the Rfam family "Bacterial small subunit ribosomal RNA", at positions 28 to 506 of the family's 1533-position model. The record is from RNAcentral.
GAUGAACGCUGGCGGCGUGCCUAAUACAUGCAAGUCGAGCGAACAGACGAGGAGCUUGCUCCUUUGACGUUAGCGGCGGACGGGCGAGUAACACGUAGGUAACCUACCUAUAAGACUGGGAUAACUUCGGGAAACCGGAGCUAAUACCGGAUAAUAUUUCGAACCGCAUGGUUCGAUAGUGAAAGAUGGCUUUGCUAUCACUUAUAGAUGGACCUGCGCCGUAUUAGCUAGUUGGUAAGGUAACGGCUUACCAAGGCAACGAUACGUAGCCGACCUGAGAGGGUGAUCGGCCACACUGGAACUGAGACACGGUCCAGACUCCUACGGGAGGCAGCAGUAGGGAAUCUUCCGCAAUGGGCGAAAGCCUGACGGAGCAACGCCGCGUGAGUGAUGAAGGUCUUCGGAUCGUAAAACUCUGUUAUUAGGGAAGAACAAACGUGUAAGUAACUGUGCACGUCUUGACGGUACCUAAUCAGAAAGCCACGGCUAACUACGU